RNAcentral lists this ribosomal RNA (253 nucleotides) under uncultured bacterium. RNAcentral describes it as "partial 16S ribosomal RNA". It matches the Rfam family "Archaeal small subunit ribosomal RNA", at positions 474 to 727 of the family's 1478-position model. The record is from RNAcentral.
UACCAGCACCCCGAGUGGUCGGGACGAUUAUUGGGCCUAAAGCAUCCGUAGCCGGCCUUACAAGUCCUCCGUUAAAUCCAGCUGCUUAACAGAUGGGCUGCGGAGGAUACUAUAAGACUAGGAGGCAGGAGAGGCAAGCGGUACUCAGUGGGUAGGGGUAAAAUCCGUUGAUCCAUUGAAGACCACCAGUGGCGAAGGCGGUGUGCCAGAAUGCGCUCGACGGUGAGGGAUGAAAGCUGGGGGAGCAAACGGG